CCACCACCAAAGCAUUCUCUGGUGUUGAAGGCCCUGCAAAGCAGCAUCGCGGUGGCGGAGCGUCGUUUGCGACGCCCAACACACAAAACAAGCGGUGAGUGCUUUGGGGUGGGGUGACUGCGUACCUUUUGUAUAAUGGGUCAGCGACUUAUAUUCUGUAGCAAGGUUAACCGAAUAGGGGAGCCGGAGGGAAACCGAGUCUUAAUUGGGCGUUAAGUUGCAGGGUAUAGACCCGAAACCCGGUGAUCUAGCCAUGGGCAGGUUGAAGGUUGGGUAACACUAACUGGAGGACCGAACCGACUAAUGUUGAAAAAUUAGCGGAUGACCUGUGGCUGGGGGUGAAAGGCCAAUCAAACCGGGAGAUAGCUGGUUCUCCCCGAAAGCUAUUUAGGUAGCGCCUCGUGAAUUCAUCUCCGGGGGUAGAGCACUGUUUCGGCUAGGGGGCCAUCCCGGCUUACCAACCCGAUGCAAACUGCGAAUACCGGAGAAUGUUAUCACGGGAGACACACGGCGGGUGCUAACGUCCGUCGUGAAGAGGGAAACAACCCAGACCGCCAGCUAAGGUCCCAAAGUCAUGGUUAAGUGGGAAACGAUGUGGGAAGGCCCAGACAGCCAGGAUGUUGGCUUAGAAGCAGCCAUCAUUUAAAGAAAGCGUAAUAGCUCACUGGUCGAGUCGGCCUGCGCGGAAGAUGUAACGGGGCUAAACCAU
This 709-nucleotide ribosomal RNA is filed under the name Salmonella enterica subsp. enterica serovar Infantis. Its description in RNAcentral is "partial 23S ribosomal RNA". The stretch from base 88 to 709 matches the Rfam family "Bacterial large subunit ribosomal RNA", at positions 566 to 1190 of the family's 2925-position model. The record is from RNAcentral. Lineage: Bacteria; Pseudomonadati; Pseudomonadota; Gammaproteobacteria; Enterobacterales; Enterobacteriaceae. RNAcentral also lists the same sequence under 7 other names.